Molecule: unclassified non-coding RNA, 520 nt
Filed under: Hevea brasiliensis (rubber tree)
Lineage: Eukaryota; Viridiplantae; Streptophyta; Magnoliopsida; Malpighiales; Euphorbiaceae
Source: RNAcentral
UUUUCUUUCAGUUAUGUUCCAACUGUAACUGAAGAUAACAACAUUACCUACCAAAUGCUAAUUACAAAGGACAAAGCACAUGAACUGCUGUAAACUUAACGGGGAAACUGGAGUUUCCUUUUGUGACAGCUAAAUGGUUAUCCUCACGAAGAUAAGGGUAACACCACAACCACAGGUUCCCGCCACUACCUAAGCCAGUCUCAACUGCCAUUAACGCCCCCUUGAGACAUAGCAAAGAAGGAACCAGAAAAUGCUUCUACGUGGCACAAUUUCUAAUCCUUUACCCUCUCUCCACCUCAAAACUCCCCUUCGGCUCCGCAGCUACGCCCCCACCGCCACCACCAUUACUAACAAAUGCUCCAUCUCCGACGAGGACCUGGAGUCCCGAGGCUUCCUCCUCCGUCGCACCAUCUCCAACCUUAAUCUCGACCACCUCAACUCUGUAUUCGUGGCAGUCGGGUUCCCCAAGCGUGACCCGGAGAAGAUCAAACUGGCGUUGGAGAACACGAACUCGCUCCUC